CUAAUUUAAUAAUACUAGAUAUUUAAACUUAGCGCCAUUUGCAUUAGUAUCAUUCAUUCUAUUGUAGAUGUCAGAAGCAUACAGAAAUCAAUUUUGAUUCAAGGUAGUGAACUAUGUUUCACAUUACAAGAUAUAAAUAGACAUGAUUAGAAGACUUGUAGAAUAAAGUGAGACGUAGAACUUAAUGAAAAAUUAUUUCAAAAAUGUGAAAAAUAAUCAUAUAUAUAACAAUUCAUGUGAAUAUAAUACAUUAAUAUCGAGCACCUUUCACAGUGGUCAUGUAAUUGAUUUCUGAAGAUCCAGGUAUUGUAUAUCCAGCUACAACUGACAUACGUUUUAAAGCAGAAGAAAAGUGAUGUCUUUGUACGAUUUUUAAGACAGCUUUCUCAAGAGGAUCUCCAACAAUUCCAUCAUCUAAUUGUACAAGAGAAUGGCAUGUUGCAAGUACUUGAAUACUUUCUAUAGGCGCAUCAGAAAGUUGCAUAACAUCUGGUUUUCCUCUAAAAUAAUAAAUGAUUUUUUAAUAUAAA
This is a long non-coding RNA of Apis laboriosa (Himalayan honeybee), 530 nucleotides long. RefSeq lists it as uncharacterized. The transcript has 3 exons. The record is from RefSeq and is a predicted model, not a curated record. NCBI's taxonomy places the organism in Eukaryota, Metazoa, Arthropoda, Insecta, Hymenoptera, Apidae.